RNAcentral lists this ribosomal RNA (253 nucleotides) under uncultured bacterium. Its description in RNAcentral is "partial 16S ribosomal RNA". It matches the Rfam family "Bacterial small subunit ribosomal RNA", at positions 524 to 776 of the family's 1533-position model. The record is from RNAcentral.
UACGAAGGGGGCUAGCGUUGCUCGGAAUCACUGGGCGUAAAGGGUGCGUAGGCGGGUCUUUAAGUCAGGGGUGAAAUCCUGGAGCUCAACUCCAGAACUGCCUUUGAUACUGAGGAUCUUGAGUUCGGGAGAGGUGAGUGGAACUGCGAGUGUAGAGGUGAAAUUCGUAGAUAUUCGCAAGAACACCAGUGGCGAAGGCGGCUUACUGGUCCGGUACUGACGCUGAGGUGCGAAAGCGUGGGGAGCAAACAGG